GAACGCUGGCGGCGUGCUUAACACCUGCAAGUCGAACGGUGAAGCUCCAGCUUGCUGGAGUGGAUCAGUGGCGAACGGGUGAGUAACACGUGAGCAACCUGCCCCUGACUCUGGAAUAAGCGCUGGAAACGGCGUCUAAUACUGGAUACGAGAAGGGUCCGCAUGGGCACUUUCUGGAAAGUUUUUCGGUUGGGGAUGGGCUCGCGGCCUAUCAGCUUGUUGGUGAGGUAAUGGCUCACCAAGGCGACGACGGGUAGCCGGCCUGAGAGGGCGACCGGCCACACUGGGACUGAGACACGGCCCAGACUCCUACGGGAGGCAGCAGUGGGGAAUAUUGCACAAUGGGCGAAAGCCUGAUGCAGCGACGCCGCGUGAGGGAUGACGGCCUUCGGGUUGUAAACCUCUUUCAGCAGGGAAGAAGCGAAAGUGACGGUACCUGCAGAAGAAGCACCGGCUAACUACGUG
Molecule: ribosomal RNA, 465 nt
Filed under: uncultured bacterium
Lineage: Bacteria
Description: partial 16S ribosomal RNA
Rfam family: Bacterial small subunit ribosomal RNA
Source: RNAcentral